Molecule: ribosomal RNA, 1257 nt
Filed under: uncultured bacterium
Lineage: Bacteria
Description: bacterial SSU rRNA
Rfam family: Bacterial small subunit ribosomal RNA
Source: RNAcentral
GCCUGGAAUAACACGAGGAAACUUGUGCUAAUACCGGAUAAGUCUUUACGGAGAAAGCUUUAUGCACCAUUGGAUGAGCCUGCACUUGAUUAGUUUGUUGGUGGGGUAAUGGCCUACCAAGACUGUGAUCAAUAGCUGAUUUGAGAGGAUGAUCAGCCACAUUGGGACUGAGACACGGCCCAAACUCCUACGGGAGGCAGCAGUGGGGAAUCUUGCACAAUGGAGGAAACUCUGAUGCAGCGAUGCCGCGUGAGUGAAGAAGGCCUUUGGGUUGUAAAGCUCUUUCGUCGGGGAAGAAAAUGACUGUACCCGAAUAAGAAGGUCCGGCUAACUUCGUGCCAGCAGCCGCGGUAAUACGAAGGGACCUAGCGUAGUUCGGAAUUACUGGGCUUAAAGAGUUCGUAGGUGGUUGAAAAAGUUGGUGGUGAAAUCCCAGAGCUUAACUCUGGAACUGCCAUCAAAACUUUUCAGCUAGAGUAUGAUAGAGGAAAGCAGAAUUUCUAGUGUAGAGGUGAAAUUCGUAGAUAUUAGAAAGAAUACCAAUUGCGAAGGCAGCUUUCUGGAUCAUUACUGACACUGAGGAACGAAAGCAUGGGUAGCGAAGAGGAUUAGAUACCCUCGUAGUCCAUGCCGUAAACGAUGUGUGUUAGACGUUGGAAAUUUAUUUUCAGUGUCGCAGCGAAAGCAUUAAACACACCGCCUGGGGAGUACGACCGCAAGGUUAAAACUCAAAUGAAUUGACGGGGACCCGCACAAGUAGUGGAGCAUGUGGUUUAAUUCGAAGAUACGCGCAGAACCUUACCAACACUUGACAUGUUCGUCGCGACUUUAAGAGAUUAAAGUUUUCGGUUCGGCCGGACGAAACACAGGUGCUGCAUGGCUGUCGUCAGCUCGUGUCGUGAGAUGUUGGGUUAAGUCCCGCAACGAGCGCAACCCUCACUUUUAGUUGCCAUCAUUAAGUUGGGCACUCUGAAAGAACUGCCAGUGAUAAGCUGGAGGAAGGUGGGGAUGACGUCAAGUCCUCAUGGCCCUUACGUGUUGGGCUACACACGUGCUACAAUGGCAUUUACAAUAGGAAGCAAGAUGGCGACGUCAAGCAAAUCCUAAAAAGAUGCCUCAGUUCGGAUUGUACUCUGCAACUCGAGUACAUGAAGCUGGAAUUACUAGUAAUCGCGGAUCAGCGCGCCGCGGUGAAUACGUUCCCGGGUCUUGUACACACCGCCCGUCACACCAUGGGAGUUGGUUCUACCUUAAGGC